This 640-nucleotide ribosomal RNA is filed under the name Microbulbifer sp. RNAcentral's name for it is "bacterial SSU rRNA". It matches the Rfam family "Bacterial small subunit ribosomal RNA", at positions 66 to 706 of the family's 1533-position model. Lineage: Bacteria; Pseudomonadati; Pseudomonadota; Gammaproteobacteria; Cellvibrionales; Microbulbiferaceae. The record is from RNAcentral.
GCGGAACUUCUUCUGAACGAGUAGAGCGGCGGACGGGUGAGUAACGCGUGGGAAAUUGCCCAGUAGUGGGGGACAACAUUCGGAAACGGAUGCUAAUACCGCAUACGCCCUACGGGGGAAAGCAGGGGAUCUUCGGACCUUGUGCUAUUGGAUAUGCCCGCGUCGGAUUAGCUAGUUGGUGAGGUAAUGGCUCACCAAGGCAACGAUCCGUAGCUGGUCUGAGAGGAUGAUCAGCCACACUGGGACUGAGACACGGCCCAGACUCCUACGGGAGGCAGCAGUGGGGAAUAUUGGACAAUGGGCGCAAGCCUGAUCCAGCCAUGCCGCGUGUGUGAAGAAGGCUCUAGGGUUGUAAAGCACUUUCAGUAGGGAGGAAGGCCUUAAAGUUAAUACCUUUGAGGAUUGACGUUACCUACAGAAGAAGCACCGGCUAACUCCGUGCCAGCAGCCGCGGUAAUACGGAGGGUGCGAGCGUUAAUCGGAAUUACUGGGCGUAAAGCGCGCGUAGGCGGUUAGUUAAGCUGGAUGUGAAAGCCCCGGGCUCAACCUGGGAACUGCAUUCAGAACUGGCUGGCUAGAGUACGAGAGAGGGUAGUGGAAUUUCCUGUGUAGCGGUGAAAUGCGUAGAUAUAGGAAGGAA